RNAcentral lists this transfer RNA (63 nucleotides) under Aphaena amabilis. Its description in RNAcentral is "tRNA-Ile". Lineage: Eukaryota; Metazoa; Arthropoda; Insecta; Hemiptera; Fulgoridae. The record is from RNAcentral.
AGCAAGAUGCCUGAUUAAAGGAUUACUUUGAUGAAGUAAAUAAAGUGUAAAUCACUCAUGCUA